This 594-nucleotide long non-coding RNA is filed under the name Homo sapiens (human). RNAcentral's name for it is "non-protein coding lnc-NUDT4B-8:2". Lineage: Eukaryota; Metazoa; Chordata; Mammalia; Primates; Hominidae. The record is from RNAcentral.
AGAAUGUGCUCUAAAUGCUCAAGGCAGAGACUGAAAACCUUGCAGUGAUUAGUAGCUCAGGCAGCUCCGGACAACUUCAUAUGAGAUUUUUUUUUAGAGUAGCUUUUCAGUAUCCCCUUCUUUUGCUGAUGAAUGUUGAAGCUGGAGACUCAUUUACAAAUCCCCGUUCAACAUUACUGUCUCCCAGACAACCUUCAUUAAUAAUGUGUCUCUGAAGCAGGCCUUAGCAGCUAAAGCAAUCAUUGCUCUAAUCCUUUUGAGCAGCAAAGGAAGUGGAAAAAUAGGCAGAGAAGCAGUCUUAGUCCACUCAGGCUGCUAUAACAGAAUACCAUAGACUGAGUGGCUUAUAAACAAUAGAAAUUCAUUUCUCACAGUUCUGGAGGCUGGGAAGUCCAAGAUCAAGGCACUGGCAUUUUCAGUGUCUGGUGAGGGCCCACAAGCCCCCACCUCCUAAUACCAUUAUGUUGGGGGUUAGGAUUUCAACAUAUGAAUUUGGAGGGGAAUACAAACUUUCAAACCAUAGCAGAUACCAAGAUGAGAAAGCUGUGGUUCCUUUUCUUAAGUAGCUUACCAGCUAAUGGGGAGAACGCAGUA